Molecule: long non-coding RNA, 1199 nt
Filed under: Sarcophilus harrisii (Tasmanian devil)
Lineage: Eukaryota; Metazoa; Chordata; Mammalia; Dasyuromorphia; Dasyuridae
Description: lncRNA (ENSSHAG00000024163.1)
Source: RNAcentral
CAACAUCUCAUGUUGAUUUCACCUCUGCAAUAACUCUUAUCCAUUUCACUUUUACAAUAUCUCAGGUUGAUUUCACCUCUGCCACACCUGUGGGUUUCACCUUUUCAACAUUUCUCCUUGAUUUCACCUCUUGUCCAUUUUACCUCUGCAGCAUCUCUUGUCCAUUUCCUCUUUGCAGCAUCUUUUGUCCAUUUCACCUCUGCAGCAUCUCUUGUCCAUUUCCUCUUUGCAGCAUCUCUUGUCCAUUUCCCCUUUGCAGCAUCUCUUGUCCAUUUUCCCUUUGUAGCAUUUCUAGCCCAUCUGCAACAUCUCUGAUUAAUUUUACUUUUGCAGCCUCUCUUGUUCGUUUCACUUCUGAAGCAUCUCUUGUCCGUUUCCCCUUUGCAGCAUCUUUUGUCCAUUUUCCCUUUGUAACAUCUCUUGCCCAUUUCCCCUUGCAGCAUCUUUUGUCCAUUUUCCCUUUGUAACAUCUCUUUUCUAUUUCCCCUUUGCAGCAUCUCUUGUCCUUUUCAUCUCUGCAGCAUCUCUUUUCUAUUUCCCCUUUGCAGCAUCUUUUGUUCAUUUUCUCUUUGUAGCAUUUCUUCCCCAUUUCCCCUUUGCAACAUCUCUGAUCAAUUUACCUUUGCAGCAUCUCUGGUUGAUUCUACCUUUGCAGCAUUUCUUGUCCAUUUCCCCUUUGCAGCAUCUCUUGUCCAUUUCACCUCUGCAGCAUCUUUUGUCCAUUUUCCCUUUGCAACACCUCUGAUCAAUUUUACCUUUGCAGCAUCUCUAGUUGAUUUUACCUUUACAGCAUCUCUUAUCCAUCUCACCUUUGCAACAAUUCUGGUCAAUUUUACCUUUGUAACAUCUUUUGUUCAUUUCACCUUUGCAGCAUCUCUGGUCAAUUCCACCUUUGCAGCAGCUCGUGAAUAUAUCUUCUUCUCUACUCUGACAUUGCUCCCACCUUAGUGCAGGCCCUCUUUACUGCACACCUGAAUUACUGCUGGUGGCUCUUCCUAUGUCUAGAUUCAUCCUCCACUCUGAUGUAAAAGUGAUCUCCUAAAGUCUGCACUUUAGGAUUAGAAUUACUUCUGGACAUGUAAAUCUUGUUGAUAAACUUCAGUAACUCCCUUUUAACAACAAAAAGCAUUUAUCAAAUACCUACUAUGUGCUAAAUAUUAGAAAUACCAAGGAAAGACAGUCCCUGCUCUUAAGGAGCU